CACGUAGGGGGCAAGCGUUGUCCGGAUUUAUUGGGCGUAAAGAGCUCGUAGGCGGUCUGUUACGUCUGCUGUGAAAACCCUGGGCUUAACCCUGGGCUUGCAGUGGAUACGGGCAAACUAGAGUACUGCAGGGGAGACUGGAAUUCCUGGUGUAGCGGUGAAAUGCGCAGAUAUCAGGAGGAACACCGGUGGCGAAGGCGGGUCUCUGGGCAGUAACUGACGCUGAGGAGCGAAAGCGUGGGGAGCGAACAGG
Molecule: ribosomal RNA, 253 nt
Filed under: uncultured bacterium
Lineage: Bacteria
Description: partial 16S ribosomal RNA
Rfam family: Bacterial small subunit ribosomal RNA
Source: RNAcentral